UACGGAGGAUGCGAGCGUUAUCCGGAUUUACUGGGUGUAAAGGGAGCGUAGACGGCGAUGCAAGUCUGAAGUGAAAGGCGGGGGCCCAACCCCCGGACUGCUUUGGAAACUGUAUAGCUGGAGUGCAGGAGAGGUAAGUGGAAUUCCUAGUGUAGCGGUGAAAUGCGUAGAUAUUAGGAGGAACACCAGUGGCGAAGGCGGCUCUCUGGUCUGUAACUGACGCUGAGGCUCGAAAGCAUGGGUAGCGAACAGG
Molecule: ribosomal RNA, 253 nt
Filed under: uncultured Eubacteriales bacterium
Lineage: Bacteria; Bacillati; Bacillota; Clostridia; Eubacteriales
Description: uncultured Clostridiales bacterium partial 16S ribosomal RNA
Rfam family: Bacterial small subunit ribosomal RNA
Source: RNAcentral